This is an unclassified non-coding RNA of Otolemur garnettii (small-eared galago), 283 nucleotides long. It matches the Rfam family "Metazoan signal recognition particle RNA". From Rfam's summary of the family: The signal recognition particle (SRP) is a universally conserved ribonucleoprotein. Lineage: Eukaryota; Metazoa; Chordata; Mammalia; Primates; Galagidae. The record is from Ensembl.
GUCUAUAGGUAUGGUGGCAUGUACCUUUAGUCCCAAUUACUUGGGAGGCUGAGGCAGGAGGACUGCUUGAGCCCAGGAGUGCUCAGGUGUGGCAUAUUAUGCCAGCCUGGUGUCUGUAUUGUUUGGCAUUAAUAUGUGACCUCCUGGGAGGCAGGCUGCCUAAAGAGGGGUGAACAGGCCUAGGUCAGAAACGGAGCAGGCCAAAAUUCCCAUGCUGAUCAAUAGUGAAAUCAUGCUUGUGAAUAACCAUAGCACUCCAGCCUGGGCAACAUGGUGAGACCUU